UACAGAGGGUGCGAGCGUUGUUCGGAAUUACUGGGCGUGAAGCGUUUGUAGGCGGUGCUGAGAGUCCUAGGUGAAAUCCCCGAGAUCAACCCGGGAACUGCCUAGGAGACCUCAGUACUAGAGUACUGAAGGGGUUGCUGGAAUUCCAUGUGUAGCGGUGAAAUGCGUAGAUAUAUGGAGGAACACCUGUGGCGAAGGCGGGCAACUGGUCAGAGACUGACGCUGUGAAACGAAAGCGUGGGGAGCAAACAGG
This 253-nucleotide ribosomal RNA is filed under the name uncultured bacterium. RNAcentral's name for it is "partial 16S ribosomal RNA". It matches the Rfam family "Bacterial small subunit ribosomal RNA", at positions 524 to 776 of the family's 1533-position model. The record is from RNAcentral.